Long non-coding RNA from Salvia splendens (bonfire salvia), 682 nucleotides. RefSeq lists it as uncharacterized. NCBI's taxonomy places the organism in Eukaryota, Viridiplantae, Streptophyta, Magnoliopsida, Lamiales, Lamiaceae. The record is from RefSeq and is a predicted model, not a curated record. The transcript is spliced from 4 exons.
UGUAUGCAGUGUAUGUAUUAUCUUGUGUAUGUGCAGUGUGAGUAUUAGCAAUGUGUGUAUUGUGUUAAGAAUGUUAGUAGUAUAGUAUAUCUGUGUAACGCCCGACUUUUCCCUAUUCCUUUAAGUUGUUUUUGGAUUACUGUCGAAAUUUUUUUAGCCAACUAUCGUUCCGUUUUAUUUUGAGAGCCUAUGGAAUUUAUUUUUUAAGAAGCCGAAAUAUUAAAUAAAGAUUCUAUAGAGAUUUUUCUCCUCCGUGAUCUGCAAUUAAAUAUUAAACAAAUUCAAUUUAAUUCAAAAAAAAAGUAAGAAUUCGAAAUUUCUCUCCUUCCCCACGUUGGACAAACCGUUCCCCUCUCUCCCCAAAUCUCUCUCACAUCCAAACCACUCAUCCCUCUAUUUUAAAUCUCCAAUUCAGUUUAUCUUCCCUAUUCUACACGCUCUCCGCAAGCAAGAAGAACCAAGACCCAUUACGCUCAAUUUCAAUUCGAGAAAUCGAAACUCUCGUGUUCAAAGAACCUCCCUUUUGUGAACUCCACAACCAAGUCCUACUCACGAAGGUGAUUCCUUGCAAGCGAGACGUGAUAAUCAAGGGAAAGGAAAUCAUUUCAGAUUAAGAACUUGAGGUUGAGCGUGACGGGUGCGGUGGGUGUUGAGCAAGACCGUUGAAGAAAUUUAAGUGUUU